GGCUCCCUACGGGGCGCAGCAGUGAGGAAUAUUGGUCAAUGGGCGCGAGCCUGAACCAGCCACGUAGCGUGAAGGAUGACCAUCCUACGGGUUGUAAACUUCUUUUAUAAAGGAAUAAAGUGAGGCACGUGUGCCUUUUUGUAUGUAUUUUAUGAAUAAGGAUCGGCUAACUCCGUGCCAGCAGCCGCGGUAAUACGGAGGAUCCGAGCGUUAUCCGGAUUUAUUGGGUUUAAAGGGAGCGUAGAUGGGUUGUUAAGUCAGUUGUGAAAGUUUGCGGCUCAACCGUAAAAUUGCAAUUGAUACUG
This 305-nucleotide ribosomal RNA is filed under the name uncultured bacterium. Its description in RNAcentral is "bacterial SSU rRNA". It matches the Rfam family "Bacterial small subunit ribosomal RNA", at positions 333 to 635 of the family's 1533-position model. The record is from RNAcentral.